GACGAACGCUGGCGGCGUGCCUAAUACAUGCCAGUUGAGCGCUGAAGGUUGGUACUUGUACCAACUGGAUGAGCAGCGAACGGGUGAGUAACGCGUGGGGAAUCUGCCUUUGAGCGGGGGACAACAUUUGGAAACGAAUGCUAAUACCGCAUAAAAACUUUAAACACAAGUUUUAAGUUUGAAAGAUGCAAUUGCAUCACUCAAAGAUGAUCCCGCGUUGUAUUAGCUAGUUGGUGAGGUAAAGGCUCACCAAGGCGAUGAUACAUAGCCGACCUGAGAGGGUGAUCGGCCACAUUGGGACUGAGACACGGCCCAAACUCCUAAGGGAGGCAGCAGUAGGGAAUCUUCGGCAAUGGACGAAAGUCUGACCGAGCAACGCCGCGUGAGUGAAGAAGGUUUUCGGAUCGUAAAACUCUGUUGGUAGAGAAGAACGUUGGUGAGAGUGGAAAGCUCAUCAAGUGACGGUAACUACCCAGAAAGGGACGGCUAACUACGUG
This 497-nucleotide ribosomal RNA is filed under the name uncultured bacterium. RNAcentral describes it as "partial 16S ribosomal RNA". It matches the Rfam family "Bacterial small subunit ribosomal RNA", at positions 28 to 507 of the family's 1533-position model. The record is from RNAcentral.